Molecule: ribosomal RNA, 484 nt
Filed under: uncultured bacterium
Lineage: Bacteria
Description: partial 16S ribosomal RNA
Rfam family: Bacterial small subunit ribosomal RNA
Source: RNAcentral
AUUGAACGCUGGCGGCAGGCCUAACACAUGCAAGUCGAGCGGCUGCACGGUAAUUGCUUCUGGUUUCGGCGGCCGACGGGCGGGUGAUUCAUAGGUAUCUCCCUGUCUGCUGUUUCUAACGUGAGAACGCGGGGGAUCAUACCCUAUAACUGCUUAGGGAGUACGUGGGAGAUCUUCGGACCUCCCGCUCUCACAUGAUCCUAGGUCGGAUUAGCUAGUUGGUGGGGUAAAGGCCUACAAAGGCGACGAUCCGUCACUGGUCUGAGAGGAUGAUCAGCCACACUGGAACUGAGACACGGUCCAGACUCCUACGGGAGGCAGCAGUGGGGAAUAUUGGACAAUGGGCGAAAGCCUGAUCCAGCCAUGCCGCGUGGGUGAAGAAGGUCUUCGGAUUGUAAAGCACUUUAGGUUGGGAGGAAGGGCAGUAAGUUAAUACCUUGCUGUUUUGACGGUACCAACAGAAUAAGCACCGGCUAACUUCGUG